Non-coding RNA from Hypanus sabinus (Atlantic stingray), 74 nucleotides. Lineage: Eukaryota; Metazoa; Chordata; Chondrichthyes; Myliobatiformes; Dasyatidae. The record is from the annotation of a RefSeq genome assembly.
GGCUCCGUGGCUUAACUGGUCAAAGCGCCUGUCUAGUAAACAGGAGAUCCUGGGUUCAACUCCCAACGGAGCCU